Molecule: unclassified non-coding RNA, 296 nt
Organism: Pan troglodytes (chimpanzee)
Lineage: Eukaryota; Metazoa; Chordata; Mammalia; Primates; Hominidae
Gene: 7SK
Rfam family: 7SK RNA
About the family: 7SK was discovered as an abundant small nuclear RNA in the mid-70s but a possible function has only recently been suggested. Two independent studies have found that 7SK RNA binds the CDK9/cyclin T complex (known as elongation factor P-TEFb).
Source: Ensembl
GGAUGUGAGGGUGAUCUGGCUGUGACACUUGUCAUCACAUUGAUCCCCAGGGUUGAUUCGGCUGAUCUGGCUGGCUAGGUGGGCGGCCCCUUCCUUCUACACAGCUCCAUGUGCUGUGUGCUUGCUUGAAGAAGACCAUCUUCCCCAAUAGAGGAGGACCUUUCCUUGUUCACAGGUGUACAAGUAGCUCCUGCUAGAACUUCCAAACAAGGUUCAUUUGUAGGAGAAUAUACAGCAGCCAAGACUCCCGGACUCCACAUCCAGAAUGAGGUGUUGCAUUUGGCAGUUUCUGCUUU